CCUACGGGAGGCAGCAGUAAGGAAUAUUGGUCAAUGGACGCAAGUCUGAACCAGCCAUGCCGCGUGAAGGAUGAAUGCCCUCUGGGUUGUAAACUUCUUUUAUAGGGGACGAAAAAGGGUCUUUUUAGAUCAACUGACGGUACCCUAGGAAUAAGCACCGGCUAACUCCGUGCCAGCAGCCGCGGUAAUACGGAGGGUGCAAGCGUUAUCCGGAUUUACUGGGUUUAAAGGGUGCGUAGGUGGGUUGGUAAGUCAGCGGUGAAAUCUUCGAGCUUAACUCGGAAACUGCCAUUGAUACUAUCAGCCUUGAAUAUCCUGGAGGUGAGCGGAAUAUGUCAUGUAGCGGUGAAAUGCUUAGAUAUGACAUAGAACACCAAUUGCGAAGGCAGCUCACUACGGGAUUAUUGACACUGAGGCACGAAAGCGUGGGGAUCAAACAGGAUUAGAUACCCUGGUAGUCCACGCCCUAAACGAUGGAUACUCGACAUUUGCGAUAUANAGUAAGUAGUNUGAGNGAAGANAUUAAGUUAUACCCACCCGUACGGUAAGGUAACGAGUCGCGAGAGUUAGUAACGUACAAACUAGUAAGUUAGUACGGACGUGAGACGUUGCCGACGGACGACGACGAGGGAGGAGGGAG
Molecule: ribosomal RNA, 640 nt
Filed under: uncultured bacterium
Lineage: Bacteria
Description: bacterial SSU rRNA
Rfam family: Bacterial small subunit ribosomal RNA (bases 1-538)
Source: RNAcentral